GAUGAACGCUGGCGGCGUGCCUAAUACAUGCAAGUCGAGCGAACGGACGAGAAGCUUGCUUCUCUGAUGUUAUCGGCGGACGGGUGAGUAACACGUGGAUACCCUACCUAUAAGACUGGUAUAACUUCGGGAAACCGGAGCUAAUACCGGAUAAUAUUUUGAACCGCAUGGUUCAAAAGUGAAAGACGGUCUUGCUGUCACUUAUAGAUGGAUCCGCGCUGCAUUAGCUAGUUGGUAAGGUAACGGCUUACCAAGGCAACGAUGCAUAGCCGACCUGAGAGGGGGAUCGGCCACACUGGAACUGAGACACGGUCCAGACUCCUACGGGAGGCAGCAGUAGGGAAUCUUCCGCAAUGGGCGAAAGCCUGACGGAGCAACGCCGCGUGAGUGAUGAAGGUCUUCGGAUCGUAAAACUCUGUUAUUAGGGAAGAACAUAUGUGUAAGUAACUGUGCACAUCUUGACGGUACCUAAUCAGAAAGCCACGGCUAACUACGUG
RNAcentral lists this ribosomal RNA (497 nucleotides) under uncultured bacterium. RNAcentral's name for it is "partial 16S ribosomal RNA". It matches the Rfam family "Bacterial small subunit ribosomal RNA", at positions 28 to 507 of the family's 1533-position model. The record is from RNAcentral.